Molecule: long non-coding RNA, 894 nt
Filed under: Setaria viridis
Lineage: Eukaryota; Viridiplantae; Streptophyta; Magnoliopsida; Poales; Poaceae
Description: long non-coding RNA (SVIR_LNC008020)
Source: RNAcentral
AUAGAUUUCACAUUGAAAGGGGGCAGAGAAGAAGGGGCCAUAAGAGAACUCUAGAAGCGGGAGUCCACGCCGCCGGUAGUUAUGUAGGCCAGAUAUCAUUGACGUGUGGGCCUGGUAGUGAAUGGGCCCACUCGGCAAUGAUAGGAGUGGCAGGGGACAAUGAGUAGAUUUUAUUUCUAAAAGCGUAGAGUACUUUUUAUAGUGGGUCCAGCUCUUCGUGUGCGCAUUCGGGAACUGAGUGCGCAUUCGGGAACCAAGUUGGAGGAGGGAAAGGAAAGAAUUGGCGGUAAAUGGCUGCAUGCCGGGGCCAACCCAAUUUUCGGCAAAAAUAAAAACAAAAUGGAAAAAAGGGUGGAUGAUUUUGAAUUGUGAAAAUGUUAAACGUGUUUAGAUUUGGCAUUUGUUGUCCAAAUCCGUUGAUUCUUUUUUCCAACUAGUGGAAGUGCACGUGAUAAAAAAAGAUUACAUACAACUGUCAAUAAAUAAUAACAUUCUAUUAAUUCAAGAGUAAAAGGAAGUCCAUCAACUUUGAGAAUCUUAUCAUGGCUCAUCCGCAUAGAUUGGUUACAACAUUCUAAUGUUCAGGCAUAUCCUAUCAACAUGAGCUAGCAUUCUCUAUUGAAAAACACCCUUCUAGAAUUGGCCCCCCGGUUGUGAUUGACAAACUCGAAACUAACUAUCUUAAUUGAAAUAUUAAUUAAAAAUUAAACAAACUACGUUCAUUGGUGGACACUCCCACAUGAAUUCUAGAUAUGCGAAACUGAAACUUUGGAAAAAAAACAACUAAAUGCUCCUAGUAACGCCUCCUGUAGUCCUCGCACAAGGAACCCUUGCUGAUUCCUUUGACAUUAGCUCUGUUCUUCCUCAUAUUGCCUCACAUCCCGAAGAGCUUCC